This 450-nucleotide ribosomal RNA is filed under the name Arcopilus cupreus. RNAcentral's name for it is "LSU rRNA". It matches the Rfam family "Eukaryotic large subunit ribosomal RNA", at positions 182 to 652 of the family's 3401-position model. Lineage: Eukaryota; Fungi; Ascomycota; Sordariomycetes; Sordariales; Chaetomiaceae. The record is from RNAcentral.
UGAGUCCCCUGGAACGGGGCGCCCUAGAGGGUGAGAGCCCCGUAUAGUUGGAUGCCUAGCCCGUGUAAAGCUCCUUCGACGAAUCGAGUAGUUUGGGAAUGCUGCUCAAAAUGGGAGGUAAAUUUCUUCUAAAGCUAAAUACUGGCCAGAGACCGAUAGCGCACAAGUAGAGUGAUCGAAAGAUGAAAAGCACUUUGAAAAGAGGGUUAAAUAGCACGUGAAAUUGUUGAAAGGGAAGCGCUUGUGACCAGACUUGCGCCGGGCUGAUCAUCCGGUGUUCUCACCGGUGCACUCUGCCCGGCUCAAGCCAGCAUCGGUUCUCGCGGGGGGAUAAAGGCCCAGGGAACGUAGCUCCUCCGGGAGUGUUAUAGCCCUGGGUGUAAUGCCCUCGCGGGGACCGAGGUUCGCGCAUCUGCAAGGAUGCUGGCGUAAUGGUCACCAGCGACCCGU